CCUUCGGGUUAGUGGCGGACGGGUGAGUAACGCGUGAGAAUCUGCCCUCAGGAGGGGGAUAACGGCUGGAAACGGCCGCUAAUACCCCAUAUGCCGAGAGGUGAAAUGAAUUUCGCCUGAGGAUGAGCUCGCGUCUGAUUAGCUAGUUGGUGUGGUAAAGGCUCACCAAGGCGACGAUCAGUAGCUGGUCUGAGAGGAUGAUCAGCCACACUGGGACUGAGACACGGCCCAGACUCCUACGGGAGGCAGCAGUGGGGAAUUUUCCGCAAUGGGCGAAAGCCUGACGGAGCAACGCCGCGUGAGGGAUGAAGGCCUCUGGGCUGUAAACCUCUUUUAUCAAGGAAGAAGAUCUGACGGUACUUGAUGAAUAAGCCACGGCUAAUUCCGUGCCAGCAGCCGCGGUAAUACGGGAGUGGCAAGCGUUAUCCGGAAUUAUUGGGCGUAAAGCGUCCGCAGGCGGUCUUGUAAGUCUGUUGUUAAAGCGUGGAGCUUAACUCCAUUUAAGCAAUGGAAACUACAAGACUAGAGUGUGGUAGGGGCAGAGGGAAUUCCCGGUGUAGCGGUGAAAUGCGUAGAUAUCGGGAAGAACACCAGUGGCGAAGGCGCUCUGCUGGGCCAUAACUGACGCUCAUGGACGAAAGCCAGGGGAGCGAAAGGGAUUAGAUACCCCUGUAGUCCUGGCCGUAAACGAUGAACACUAGGUGUCGGGGGAAUCGACCCCCUCGGUGUCGUAGCCAACGCGUUAAGUGUUCCGCCUGGGGAGUACGCACGCAAGUGUGAAACUCAAAGGAAUUGACGGGGGCCCGCACAAGCGGUGGAGUAUGUGGUUUAAUUCGAUGCAACGCGAAGAACCUUACCAGGGUUUGACAUCCUGCGAAUCCCUUGGAAACGAGGGAGUGCCUUCGGGAGCGCAGUGACAGGUGGUGCAUGGCUGUCGUCAGCUCGUGUCGUGAGAUGUUGGGGUUAAGUCCCGCAACGAGCGCAACCCACGUCUUUAGUUGCCAGCAUUCAGUUGGGCACUCUAGAGAGACCGCCGGUGAUAAACCGGAGGAAGGUGUGGAUGACGUCAAGUCAUCAUGCCCCUUACAUCCUGGGCUACACACGUACUACAAUGCUACGGACAAAGGGCAGCAAACUCGCGAGAGCUAGCAAAUCCCAUAAACCGUGGCUCAGUUCAGAUCGUAGGCUGCAACUCGCCUACGUGAAGGAGGAAUCGCUAGUAAUCGCAGGUCAGCAUACUGCGGUGAAUACGUUCCCGGGCCUUGUACACACCGCCCGUCACACCAUGGAAGUUGGCCACGCCCGAAGUCGUUACUCCAACCCUUGUGGAGGAGGAUGCCGAAGGUGGGGCUGAUGACUGGGGUGAAGUCGUAACAAGGUAGCCGUACCGGAAGGUGC
Molecule: ribosomal RNA, 1398 nt
Filed under: uncultured Synechococcus sp.
Lineage: Bacteria; Bacillati; Cyanobacteriota; Cyanophyceae; Synechococcales; Synechococcaceae
Description: bacterial SSU rRNA
Rfam family: Bacterial small subunit ribosomal RNA
Source: RNAcentral